Molecule: long non-coding RNA, 279 nt
Filed under: Setaria viridis
Lineage: Eukaryota; Viridiplantae; Streptophyta; Magnoliopsida; Poales; Poaceae
Description: long non-coding RNA (SVIR_LNC003584)
Source: RNAcentral
CCGAAUGAAUGUAAUCGGCCGAUCCGAUCGACUCAUGUAUUUUGAACCGAUUUAUAUCGGCUGCGUGUGAUUGUGUUACGGUCGAUUUCUUACGUUCCGACCCAUAUACUAGGGUAAUAUCUUUUUAAGUACCUUCCAUUCAGAGCUCUAGUGAAUUCUUCUCCUUCUAUUGUUUCCAAAAUGUAAGCAUUUCCCGGAGCGCACCUGCCGAUUUUAUAUGGCCCUUCCCAGGUAGGGGACCAUUUUCCGAAUUUAGGAUCCUUCGACCCGAUCGGCAGU